RNAcentral lists this non-coding RNA (342 nucleotides) under Phalacrocorax carbo (great cormorant). RNAcentral's name for it is "Eukaryotic large subunit ribosomal RNA". It matches the Rfam family "Eukaryotic large subunit ribosomal RNA", at positions 763 to 1098 of the family's 3401-position model. The record is from Rfam by way of RNAcentral. Lineage: Eukaryota; Metazoa; Chordata; Aves; Suliformes; Phalacrocoracidae.
GCCAAGCAGCUUUCCAGCCACUCCUCCCUGAGGCUGUAGCGUUGCAUGGGGUUGUUGCAGAUGAUGAGCUAUGGCUGGGGGGGGGGGAGCGGUGAAGCCAGAGGACAUUCUGGUGGAGGUCUGUAGCAGUCCUGAUGUGCAAAUUGGUCGUCUGACCCAGAUCUAGGGGCAAAAGUGUAGUUGGACCACCUAGUACCUUGUUCCUUCCAAAAUUUCCCUAGGAAUAGCUGGCAUUCAGCAAGAGACAGUUUACUCGGGUAAAGUGAAUGACAAGGGGUCUUCAGGUUGAAAUGAUCUCAAGCUGUUCUCAAACUUUUCUUUCUUUCUUUCUUUCUUUCUUUC